This 2904-nucleotide ribosomal RNA is filed under the name Escherichia coli. RNAcentral's name for it is "23S ribosomal RNA". It matches the Rfam family "Bacterial large subunit ribosomal RNA". Lineage: Bacteria; Pseudomonadati; Pseudomonadota; Gammaproteobacteria; Enterobacterales; Enterobacteriaceae. The record is from RNAcentral.
GGUUAAGCGACUAAGCGUACACGGUGGAUGCCCUGGCAGUCAGAGGCGAUGAAGGACGUGCUAAUCUGCGAUAAGCGUCGGUAAGGUGAUAUGAACCGUUAUAACCGGCGAUUUCCGAAUGGGGAAACCCAGUGUGUUUCGACACACUAUCAUUAACUGAAUCCAUAGGUUAAUGAGGCGAACCGGGGGAACUGAAACAUCUAAGUACCCCGAGGAAAAGAAAUCAACCGAGAUUCCCCCAGUAGCGGCGAGCGAACGGGGAGCAGCCCAGAGCCUGAAUCAGUGUGUGUGUUAGUGGAAGCGUCUGGAAAGGCGCGCGAUACAGGGUGACAGCCCCGUACACAAAAAUGCACAUGCUGUGAGCUCGAUGAGUAGGGCGGGACACGUGGUAUCCUGUCUGAAUAUGGGGGGACCAUCCUCCAAGGCUAAAUACUCCUGACUGACCGAUAGUGAACCAGUACCGUGAGGGAAAGGCGAAAAGAACCCCGGCGAGGGGAGUGAAAAAGAACCUGAAACCGUGUACGUACAAGCAGUGGGAGCACGCUUAGGCGUGUGACUGCGUACCUUUUGUAUAAUGGGUCAGCGACUUAUAUUCUGUAGCAAGGUUAACCGAAUAGGGGAGCCGAAGGGAAACCGAGUCUUAACUGGGCGUUAAGUUGCAGGGUAUAGACCCGAAACCCGGUGAUCUAGCCAUGGGCAGGUUGAAGGUUGGGUAACACUAACUGGAGGACCGAACCGACUAAUGUUGAAAAAUUAGCGGAUGACUUGUGGCUGGGGGUGAAAGGCCAAUCAAACCGGGAGAUAGCUGGUUCUCCCCGAAAGCUAUUUAGGUAGCGCCUCGUGAAUUCAUCUCCGGGGGUAGAGCACUGUUUCGGCAAGGGGGUCAUCCCGACUUACCAACCCGAUGCAAACUGCGAAUACCGGAGAAUGUUAUCACGGGAGACACACGGCGGGUGCUAACGUCCGUCGUGAAGAGGGAAACAACCCAGACCGCCAGCUAAGGUCCCAAAGUCAUGGUUAAGUGGGAAACGAUGUGGGAAGGCCCAGACAGCCAGGAUGUUGGCUUAGAAGCAGCCAUCAUUUAAAGAAAGCGUAAUAGCUCACUGGUCGAGUCGGCCUGCGCGGAAGAUGUAACGGGGCUAAACCAUGCACCGAAGCUGCGGCAGCGACGCUGAUGCGUUGUUGGGUAGGGGAGCGUUCUGUAAGCCUGCGAAGGUGUGCUGUGAGGCAUGCUGGAGGUAUCAGAAGUGCGAAUGCUGACAUAAGUAACGAUAAAGCGGGUGAAAAGCCCGCUCGCCGGAAGACCAAGGGUUCCUGUCCAACGUUAAUCGGGGCAGGGUGAGUCGACCCCUAAGGCGAGGCCGAAAGGCGUAGUCGAUGGGAAACAGGUUAAUAUUCCUGUACUUGGUGUUACUGCGAAGGGGGGACGGAGAAGGCUAUGUUGGCCGGGCGACGGUUGUCCCGGUUUAAGCGUGUAGGCUGGUUUUCCAGGCAAAUCCGGAAAAUCAAGGCUGAGGCGUGAUGACGAGGCACUACGGUGCUGAAGCAACAAAUGCCCUGCUUCCAGGAAAAGCCUCUAAGCAUCAGGUAACAUCAAAUCGUACCCCAAACCGACACAGGUGGUCAGGUAGAGAAUACCAAGGCGCUUGAGAGAACUCGGGUGAAGGAACUAGGCAAAAUGGUGCCGUAACUUCGGGAGAAGGCACGCUGAUAUGUAGGUGAAGUCCCUCGCGGAUGGAGCUGAAAUCAGUCGAAGAUACCAGCUGGCUGCAACUGUUUAUUAAAAACACAGCACUGUGCAAACACGAAAGUGGACGUAUACGGUGUGACGCCUGCCCGGUGCCGGAAGGUUAAUUGAUGGGGUCAGCGCAAGCGAAGCUCCUGAUCGAAGCCCCGGUAAACGGCGGCCGUAACUAUAACGGUCCUAAGGUAGCGAAAUUCCUUGUCGGGUAAGUUCCGACCUGCACGAAUGGCGUAAUGAUGGCCAGGCUGUCUCCACCCGAGACUCAGUGAAAUUGAACUCGCUGUGAAGAUGCAGUGUACCCGCGGCAAGACGGAAAGACCCCGUGAACCUUUACUAUAGCUUGACACUGAACAUUGAGCCUUGAUGUGUAGGAUAGGUGGGAGGCUUUGAAGUGUGGACGCCAGUCUGCAUGGAGCCGACCUUGAAAUACCACCCUUUAAUGUUUGAUGUUCUAACGUGGACCCGUGAACCGGGUUGCGGACAGUGUCUGGUGGGUAGUUUGACUGGGGCGGUCUCCUCCUAAAGAGUAACGGAGGAGCACGAAGGUUGGCUAAUCCUGGUCGGACAUCAGGAGGUUAGUGCAAUGGCAUAAGCCAGCUUGACUGCGAGCGUGACGGCGCGAGCAGGUGCGAAAGCAGGUCAUAGUGAUCCGGUGGUUCUGAAUGGAAGGGCCAUCGCUCAACGGAUAAAAGGUACUCCGGGGAUAACAGGCUGAUACCGCCCAAGAGUUCAUAUCGACGGCGGUGUUUGGCACCUCGAUGUCGGCUCAUCACAUCCUGGGGCUGAAGUAGGUCCCAAGGGUAUGGCUGUUCGCCAUUUAAAGUGGUACGCGAGCUGGGUUUAGAACGUCGUGAGACAGUUCGGUCCCUAUCUGCCGUGGGCGCUGGAGAACUGAGGGGGGCUGCUCCUAGUACGAGAGGACCGGAGUGGACGCAUCACUGGUGUUCGGGUUGUCAUGCCAAUGGCACUGCCCGGUAGCUAAAUGCGGAAGAGAUAAGUGCUGAAAGCAUCUAAGCACGAAACUUGCCCCGAGAUGAGUUCUCCCUGACUCCUUGAGAGUCCUGAAGGAACGUUGAAGACGACGACGUUGAUAGGCCGGGUGUGUAAGCGCAGCGAUGCGUUGAGCUAACCGGUACUAAUGAACCGUGAGGCUUAACCUU